Molecule: non-coding RNA, 130 nt
Filed under: uncultured eukaryote
Lineage: Eukaryota
Source: RNAcentral
CUUCGAGAACAUGGGCGACAAGUGCUUUGACCUGCUCAACGGCCGCGCCCCGCUAGUGCUGCGCGACGACGGCAAGGGCGAGAUGAGCGUCGUCGGGCUUGCCGAGCGCUCGGUGGGUAGCGCUGACGAG